CUGUACAGUUCAGAGUUUGAUCCUGGCUCAGGACGAACGCUGGCGGCGUGCCUAAUACAUGCAAGUAGAACGCUGAAGCUUGGUGCUUGCACCGAGCGGAUGAGUUGCGAACGGGUGAGUAACGCGUAGGUAACCUGCCUGGUAGCGGGGGAUAACUAUUGGAAACGAUAGCUAAUACCGCAUAAGAGUAGAUAUCGCAUGAUAUGUGCUUAAAAGGUGCAAUUGCACCACUACCAGAUGGACCUGCGUUGUAUUAGCUAGUUGGUGAGGUAACGGCUCACCAAGGCGACGAUACAUAGCCGACCUGAGAGGGUGAUCGGCCACACUGGGACUGAGACACGGCCCAG
RNAcentral lists this ribosomal RNA (347 nucleotides) under uncultured bacterium. RNAcentral describes it as "bacterial SSU rRNA". It matches the Rfam family "Bacterial small subunit ribosomal RNA", at positions 1 to 334 of the family's 1533-position model. The record is from RNAcentral.